GUAACUUCAGCGAGAAGGAUAUCUGAACUGGCUACUCUUCAGUGAGGAAGGACCUGUAGUCAGAUGGGUGUGGCCUGUGCAUGACACAUCCGGCCUGUGGGCCACCAGUUUGACACCCCACCUUAUAAUGUCAAAAGGCCAGCUAUUGCAAGACCACCUGUCUCCAAUUGUUUCUGCUCAGUUCAGAAACCAGAUCUGAUAGAAAUGUAAUAGCCUUAUGGAGCUCCCAUUUAGUAUGAAGGUUGGCGUUUGGAGGAAGAGGACUUUCAAUAUUUUCUCCUGCUGUGAUAUUAAUCUCAACUGGAGACUUGUUCCACUAUCUGAAUUUAGGGAAAAACAACCUCCCUCUGAAGCAAAUGAAAGUUCCACUUGAUAUGAAUAAGAUAAGCAAGAGAUUCAAGUGAGGCUAUGACCACGGCAGAAGGCAAAGAACUGAAUUCUCUUAUUAACAGGCUCCCAACAGAAAUAACUAUUUAUGAAAUAAAAAUUUUCCAGUCAAGGAUUAACUCUAGAUAAUUAACACAAAAUAAGACUUAAUAUAAACUUUGAUUAAUGUGUAGUUACAUACAAAAUCAUAUUAGUAGAUAUUCUCUCUCUCUCUCUCUCUCUCUCUCUCUCUCUCUCUCUCUCUCUCUCUCUCUCUCUUCUAUCCCCUGUAUAUGUUCAGCAAUACCUUGAAAUCUCUAAAGCAUAUUGGAUUUAAGGAUGGGGAGUGAAAGAGGAUCCAGUUGAAGACCAUCAUUGGUUGCAAUAUGUGUAGUUUGUCCUGCAAGAGCAAUGAAACAACAAAUCCCAUGUAUAAGAGGGCCUGGUGCUGUUGACAGGAAUAACAUCAAGAUGAAAAUGAGGCUAAUUUUUCAUCUCUGCCUUUGCUUCUUCAUUCUUUGUUCACCAACAUCAGAAGAAAUAUCUUAACAGAGUUCACUCUGGAAAUCAUAUGUGUACUGUUAAUGACAUUUACAGA
This is a long non-coding RNA of Crotalus tigris (Tiger rattlesnake), 964 nucleotides long. RefSeq lists it as uncharacterized. Lineage: Eukaryota; Metazoa; Chordata; Lepidosauria; Squamata; Viperidae. The record is from RefSeq and is a predicted model, not a curated record. The transcript is spliced from 3 exons.